ACCAAAAUGUCAAAAUUUACCUAUGAUUUUGGCAGGCAUUUCUGAAUAGUGACUGUGUGGAAUUGUUCUGUGUUUUCUCCUUUUGAAAAGGUCUUCUCUUCAGCAUUUAACCAAAUGAGGAGAGGAAUCAAAUUUAUUUAUGGAACUCCCAGCUGGCUCUUAUUUUUUUUUUUUUAAUCAUUAUUACAUCUUAAAUAGCUGCUGUCUGUAUUAGCCUCUAUCUCUUUCUGUCUCUUAAGAAGCACCUUAUUUACAAUAAGGAUGAUCUGGCUGGUUGAUACACUAUGAUAAGUACCAUACUUAAGGACUAGAGGCCUCCUCUUUAGCUUCCCCAGGACGUCAGAACUGCCCCAAAGGCUGAUAGAUAUGAGGUCUUCGGUGUUGUGAUGGAUUUCCAGCCUCUGCUCAUACAGAGCUGUGCAUCAGUUUGGGCAUCAUCCAGGCACA
Molecule: non-coding RNA, 447 nt
Organism: Lonchura striata (white-rumped munia)
Lineage: Eukaryota; Metazoa; Chordata; Aves; Passeriformes; Estrildidae
Source: RefSeq, a predicted model, not a curated record